UACGAAGGGGGCUAGCGUUGCUCGGAAUCACUGGGCGUAAAGGGUGCGUAGGCGGGUCUUUUAAGUCAGGGGUGAAAUCCUGGAGCUCAACUCCAGAACUGCCUUUGAUACUGAAGAUCUUGAGUUCGGGAGAGGUGGGUGGAACUGCGAGUGUAGAGGUGAAAUUCGUAGAUAUUCGCAAGAACACCAGUGGCGAAGGCGGCUCACUGGCCCCGAUACUGACGCUGAGGCACGAAAAGCGUGGGGGAGCAAACAGG
This 257-nucleotide ribosomal RNA is filed under the name uncultured bacterium. RNAcentral's name for it is "partial 16S ribosomal RNA". It matches the Rfam family "Bacterial small subunit ribosomal RNA", at positions 524 to 776 of the family's 1533-position model. The record is from RNAcentral.